This is a long non-coding RNA of Symphalangus syndactylus (siamang), 1590 nucleotides long. RefSeq lists it as uncharacterized. The record is from RefSeq and is a predicted model, not a curated record. NCBI's taxonomy places the organism in Eukaryota, Metazoa, Chordata, Mammalia, Primates, Hylobatidae.
AAGAAAGUUAGCUUCCCACCCCCAGCAGCUGCAAUGAUUGGAAAACGAGCCUGAGCCUCUUCACUGAAAGAAUAUAUCAUUAUCCCUUGGGUUCGCCCAACUUCCCUGUUAAGAAUCACCUGAAAUGCCUAAAAAUCCUCGAGUUUCAGGGCUUUUCCCUUGAAAUGAUGAUUUAGAAGUUCCUGGGGGAGAGCCUAGGAGUCUGCGGGUUUAAUAAGCACCUCCAGGAUUUGUGUCUUCGGGGAAGGUUCACCGUGGGAAAAACCCUUUGCUCAGCGGCUGUCUGGCAGAAGGUGCUGGCAUCCACACCCUUGUCAGAACCCUCCAUAGACUGAGCAGCUAGAUCACCCACGCUGAUGGAGCUUUCCUGCAAUACCAGACCCUGGCAUCCAUGAAGGGAAGUCUUAGGUUAAGCAUUGAAAAAUCCUGGAACUUUCAAUAUUUAUGUAGCCAAAGUGUCUUUCUUGCUCACUCGCUUGCUUGCUUGCUUGUGUACCACUAAUUGAGCAACUACUAUGGGCCAGAUGCUCUGGAAAAUGUUGUUCUGAAGAGGAUUACUAAUCUGCACCAGUGGUGCACCUAGCUGUAUUUUGCACAUUAGGAAAGAGACCCAGAGGCACACCUCCCAGAUGCAUCUUCCUCAUGGGGUUGUCGCAGGGUUUAAGAAAAUGAACUCAUAUAAAGGGCUUAGCAUAGUGUCUGGAUCAUAGGGAGCCAGGGAUCACCUCUAACACCUCUUUAGCUCUUAUGUGAACUCUUUGGCUGGAUCUAGAAACCAGAUUGACACCAGGCAGAUUGAAGAGAGAAAAGCAAGCAAAUUUCAUCAGUUUUACAUGUACAUGAGGACCUUCACAAGAGAGUAAAGUUCAAGAAGUUACCAAAGGAAGAUGCUUUCAUACUUUUUAGACAAAGAACAAUAAAUUUGAGGAAAAAAUAACAGGACAAAGGAGAUCUGGCUAAUAGUAAUACAUUUCUAGAGGACUCACUGGGAGAAGUAUGGGGGGAGGUGGAAAAAUGUCGGAUGAUAAGGGUUACGUCAUUAAGUGUCUCUAUUCAGGUCUAUUACAGCCCCCAAUUCUCAGUCUCUGGUCAUAAGGGCCAUUUUCUCACCCUGGCAUGGGGAGGGUACCCCUCCCAGAGAAAUCUUUACGGCUUGCUGAAUGCAGGAAGAGACAAGUUAGCUUGCCCUUUCUGAAACUACAAUUUCUCCAAUGUUUUCAACUUGAAAUAAUCAAUAUGCCCAUCCAGCAUAUUUCAAAAUGGCAUGUCCUUCUCUCCUUCAGCCACUAACCAUAUGUGUCUCUACAUAAAAUUCUAGAUUUAGCCCGGAAUGGUUUCCUCUUAUAGAACCAAGUAGCCUUCCUCCCUGGCACGCUGGUUUUGCUGGUGAUGCUACUCUUUAUUCUAAAUUUGGCUAACUUGCUGGGUUUCACAGCCAGUCUCACUGUUCAACACUUUCCAGGGUCCUUUGUGGAGGCACAGCCGCUCUCUCUAGCUCUCUGGCACCACGUCCCUUUAUAAUGAGCACUUUACACGUUUGGCCAACAAUUCCCCAAUUUCACCCUUGAGUUCCUUCACUACUCUCCAGUG